This is a long non-coding RNA of Ahaetulla prasina, 569 nucleotides long. RefSeq lists it as uncharacterized. Lineage: Eukaryota; Metazoa; Chordata; Lepidosauria; Squamata; Colubridae. The transcript has 3 exons. The record is from RefSeq and is a predicted model, not a curated record.
AUGAGUGCUGAGUCAUGGAGCCACACCCCAUGGCCUAUAUAAAGGAGCUACUUUCUGGCAGUCUCUGAGUCAGGCAAAAGUCGAACUUAUCUUGCUGAAGUCACUUACUGGUCUCCUGCCUGCUCUGAGGACUUUGCUAGGACUUUGGGCAGAGCUGCAGAGGCAAGCCUGAUUCGGAUUUCCCGGACCCAGCCGUCAGCGGAGGAGUGGGACACGACACCACCUGCCCGGACGUUAACAUUGAUGAUCUGAGCAUGCACAGAAGCGCAUGUACGCUCCCAUUGCGAACCGGUAGUAAAGGUAAAGGUAAAGGUUCCCCUCGCACAUAUGUGCUAAUCGUUGCCGACUCUAGGGGGUGGUGCUCAUCUCCGUUUCAAAGCCGAAGAGCCAGCGCUGUCCGAAGACGUCAUGUGGCCAGCAUGACUCAACGCCAAAGGCGCACGGAACGCUGUUACCUUCCCACCAAAGAAAACACCCACACCUCCAGCUAUCAAGAUCAUCUUUUCAGCCUGGUGUUGGAGAAAAAUCUUUUAGAGGAAACUCCAGAAACCACAAACAAAACUGAUUUG